CCUACGGGAGGCAGCAGUGAGGAAUAUUGGUCAAUGGACGAGAGUCUGAACCAGCCAAGUAGCGUGAAGGAUGACUGCCCUAUGGGUUGUAAACUUCUUUUAUAUGGGAAUAAAACGUUCCACGUGUGGGAUUUUGUAUGUACCAUAUGAAUAAGGAUCGGCUAACUCCGUGCCAGCAGCCGCGGUAAUACGGAGGAUCCGAGCGUUAUCCGGAUUUAUUGGGGUUAAAGGGAGCGUAGGUGGAUUGUUAAGUCAGUUGUGAAAGUUUGCGGCUCAACCGUAAAAUUGCAGGUGAAACUGGCAGUCUUGAGUACAGUAGAGGUGGGCGGAAUUCGUGGUGUAGCGGUGAAAUGCUUAGAUAUCACGAAGAACUCCGAUUGCGAAGGCAGUUCACUGGACUGCAACUGACACUGAGGCUCGAAAGUGUGGGUAUCAAACAGGAUUAGAUACCCUGGUAGUC
RNAcentral lists this ribosomal RNA (460 nucleotides) under uncultured bacterium. Its description in RNAcentral is "partial 16S ribosomal RNA". It matches the Rfam family "Bacterial small subunit ribosomal RNA", at positions 338 to 795 of the family's 1533-position model. The record is from RNAcentral.